This 1370-nucleotide ribosomal RNA is filed under the name uncultured bacterium. RNAcentral's name for it is "bacterial SSU rRNA". It matches the Rfam family "Bacterial small subunit ribosomal RNA". The record is from RNAcentral.
AGAGUUUGAUCCUGGCUCAGGACGAACGCUGGCGGCGCGCCUAACACAUGCAAGUCGAACGAGAGGGAGGGAGCUUGCUUCCUCAAUCGAGUGGCGAACGGGUGAGUAACGCGUGAGGGACCUGCCUCAAAGAGGGGGACAACAGUUGGAAACGACUGCUAAUACCGCAUAAGCCCACAGGUCGGCACCGACCAGAGGGAAAAGGAGCAAUCCGCUUUGAGAUGGCCUCGCGUCCGAUUAGCUAGUUGGUGAGGUAACGGCCCACCAAGGCAACGAUCGGUAGCCGGACUGAGAGGUUGAACGGCCACAUUGGGACUGAGACACGGCCCAGACUCCUACGGGAGGCAGCAGUGGGGAAUAUUGCACAAUGGGGGAAACCCUGAUGCAGCGACGCCGCGUGGAGGAAGAAGGUCUUCGGAUUGUAAACUCCUGUUGUUGAGGAAGAUAAUGACGGUACUCAACAACGAAGUGACGGCUAACUACGUGCCAGCAGCCGCGGUAAAACGUAGGUCACAAGCGUUGUCCGGAAUUACUGGGUGUAAAGGGAGCGCACGCGGGAAGACAAGUUGGAAGUGAAAUCUAUGGGCUCAACCCAUAAACUGCUUUCAAAACUGUUUUUCUUGAGUACUGCACAGGUAGGCGGAAUUCCCGGUGUACCGGUGGAAUGCGUAGAUAUCGGGAGGAACACCAGUGGCGAAGGCGGCCUACUGGGGCACCAACUGACGCUGAGGCUCGAAAGUGUGGGUAGCAAACAGGAUUAGAUACGCUGGUAGUCCACACCGUANACGAUGAUUACUAGGUGUUGGAGGAUUGACCCCUUCAGUGCCGCAGUUAACACAAUAAGUAAUCCACCUGGGGAGUACGACCGCAAGGUUGAAACUCAAAGGAAUUGACGGGGGCCCGCACAAGCAGUGGAGUAUGUGGUUUAAUUCGACGCAACGCGAAGAACCUUACCAAGUCUUGACAUCCCUUGACGAUGCUGGAAACAGUAUUUCUCUUCGGAGCAAGGAGACAGGUGGUGCAUGGUUGUCGUCAGCUCGUGUCGUGAGAUGUUGGGUUAAGUCCCGCAACGAGCGCAACCCUUACUGUCAGUUACUACGCAAGAGGACUCUGGCAGGACUGCCGUUGACAAAACGGAGGAAGGUGGGGAUGACGUCAAAUCAUCAUGCCCUUUAUGACUUGGGCUACACACGUACUACAAUGGCGUUAAACAAAGAGAAGCAAGACCGCGAGGUGGAGCAAAACUCAGAAACAACGUCCCAGUUCGGACUGCAGGCUGCAACUCGCCUGCACGAAGUCGGAAUUGCUAGUAAUCGUGGAUCAGCAUGCCACGGUGAAUACGUUCCCGGGCCUUGUACACACCGCCCGUC